This is a long non-coding RNA of Drosophila pseudoobscura, 595 nucleotides long. RefSeq lists it as uncharacterized. Lineage: Eukaryota; Metazoa; Arthropoda; Insecta; Diptera; Drosophilidae. The record is from RefSeq and is a predicted model, not a curated record. The transcript is spliced from 2 exons.
GACACACACACAUACAGAUAAAGAUAAAAAUACACAUACAAGCACACUCCGCUCCACUCCACGCACAAUUGUAUUUUGAUUAUGCCCGGCUUGGUACGCCGCAUACCUCGGAUAUUUCUACGCACAACAAUGCCAACCCCCACCGACCCCAACUCCCAAGCCUCGAAGCCCCAACCCCACGAAUCCCAGAUCCACAUCCACAUCCAUUCCCACACCCAUUGUCAUAUCAAAUAUUUACGGAAACAAGCGAGAGAGCGAGCGAAACAAGUUCGGAUUCCGACUUUAAGAUAUGUACGAGUAUGUGGAGUACUAUUUAUCUCUUUCGAAAGUGGAAAACUAUGCAGAGAACACCACAGUUUCACGGGAAAGUGUUUUGUUGGGAUCAAUAAAAGCCAGAGAAGUCGGCGAACACAACUCAUUUGAAAGCCGAAAAUGAAGACCUUUUGUGUGGGCGCACUCGUAAUUCUUGGACUCUCUGGGGCCAUGGCAAAUAUUGGAGUAGGAUGGUCUUUCAAAAAGAAAUAAAAUGUUGCGUUCAAAAUAAAGCCCAACAGAUGCAUUUCAAGGAACGCGCUCAAUAAACCUACGACUUUGA